This 512-nucleotide ribosomal RNA is filed under the name uncultured bacterium. RNAcentral describes it as "partial 16S ribosomal RNA". It matches the Rfam family "Bacterial small subunit ribosomal RNA", at positions 28 to 523 of the family's 1533-position model. The record is from RNAcentral.
GAUGAACGCUGGCGGCGUGCCUAAUACAUGCAAGUCGAGCGAACGACGAGGAGCUUGCUCCUCUGAUUUAGCGGCGGACGGGUGAGUAACACGUGGGUAACCUGCCUGUAAGACGGGGAUAACUCCGGGAAACCGGAGCUAAUACCGGAUGAUAACGAGAAGCGCCUGCUUCUUUUUUGAAAGUCGGUUUCGGCUGACGCUUACAGAUGGGCCCGCGGCGCAUUAGCUAGUUGGUGAGGUAACGGCUCGCCAAGGCGACGAUGCGUAGCCGACCUGAGAGGGUGAUCGGCCACACUGGGACUGAGACACGGCCCAGACUCCUACGGGAGGCAGCAGUAGGGAAUCUUCGGCAAUGGACGAAAGUCUGACCGAGCAACGCCGCGUGAGCGAUGAAGGCCUUCGGGUCGUAAAGCUCUGUUGUCAGAGAAGAACAAGUACCGGAGUAACUGCCGGUACCUUGACGGUACUUGACCAGAAAGCCACGGCUAACUACGUGCCAGCAGCCGCAGUAA